UUGUAUAAUGGAGGUGCCGGGGCUGUCGCCAACUUUGUGCACGCCCUGGUGCUCUCUCACAAUCCAUCUCACCCCCUUUGUGCAUCACCGCGUGGGCGCUCUCCUUUUGGUUCGUUCCAAAGGGGGGUUUCACGUUUUAACACAUACACCAAUUUUUAAGAGCAUGUGUAGAAUGUCUUACCUUUUUGCGAUUAUGCGCAAUCAAUA
RNAcentral lists this unclassified non-coding RNA (207 nucleotides) under uncultured Russula. Its description in RNAcentral is "sequence contains ITS1". The record is from RNAcentral. Lineage: Eukaryota; Fungi; Basidiomycota; Agaricomycetes; Russulales; Russulaceae.